RNAcentral lists this ribosomal RNA (458 nucleotides) under uncultured bacterium. RNAcentral's name for it is "partial 16S ribosomal RNA". It matches the Rfam family "Bacterial small subunit ribosomal RNA", at positions 338 to 795 of the family's 1533-position model. The record is from RNAcentral.
CCUACGGGUGGCAGCAGUGGGGAAUAUUGCACAAUGGUGGAAACCCUGCUGCAGCGACGCCGCGUGAGUGAAGAAGUAAUUCGUUACGUAAAGCCCUAUCAGCAGGGAAGAAACACUGACCUUACGGUCAGCAGACGGUACCUGAGUAAGAAGCACCGGCUAACUACGUGCCAGCAGCCGCGGUAAUACGUAGGGGGCAAGCUUUAUCCGGAUUUAAUGGGUGUAAAGGGAGCGUAGACGGGGCGCCAAGUCUGGAGUGAAAUGCCGCAGCUUAACUGCGGAACUGCUUUGGAAACUGGCGAACUAGAGUGCGGGAGGGGUAAGCGGAAUUCCUAGUGUAGCGGUGAAAUGCGUAGAUAUUAGGAAGAACACCGGUGGCGAAGGCGGCUUACUGGACCGUAACUGACGUUGAGGCUCGAAAGCGUGGGGAGCAAACAGGAUUAGAUACCCCAGUAGUC